This 597-nucleotide long non-coding RNA is filed under the name Equus asinus (donkey). RNAcentral's name for it is "lncRNA (ENSEASG00005024003.1)". Lineage: Eukaryota; Metazoa; Chordata; Mammalia; Perissodactyla; Equidae. The record is from RNAcentral.
GCAGUAUCAGCUGGCAGUCUGCAGAGUCCAAGACCCACAGCAGAGUCGAGUCAAAAAGAAUGGCUCUGGAGCUGAGAGAUGCUCCUUCAGUAGCCAGCACAAGGAGCAAAACUUGCUUUUCCCAUUGGCUUGGCUUCCUGUAUCACCUCCAGAAAGUAGAGAUUCCACAAGUUUCCUGAUUCUUGAGCUUGCUUGAUCUAGAGAAGAUGAAGAAAUGGCCCACACCACAGCAUGCUCUGGAGAUCAUUAAUCAAAAGGUUGACAGUGAGCUGUCUUGGAGGAUAGGCCCAUGUUGGAUUCUCUCUCUUCACUGGCACCUGUCGGCCUCCUGGUCUCCUUCCACCUUUGAUGUUAACUGGCUAAUGCUGUGGUUCGUUUCCUGUUAUUUGCAACUUUGGAAUUAAAUGCAUAAAUGAAGUCAAAGCAAAUGAAAGGCCAAGGAAAUGAAAGUGCCAAUGUUCCACAAAGCAGAAAAAGUACCUAAUUUGAUGAAGAAAUCAUGCUGAUUCACUGGAAGAAAAUGGUCUUCAGCGUAAUCAACUAAACAUUUGUGUGUAAGUGUUUUUAAAAUUAAGUUGCAUUAAAAAAUCAAAUUCC